Molecule: ribosomal RNA, 227 nt
Filed under: Synechococcus sp.
Lineage: Bacteria; Bacillati; Cyanobacteriota; Cyanophyceae; Synechococcales; Synechococcaceae
Description: partial 23S ribosomal RNA
Rfam family: Bacterial large subunit ribosomal RNA
Source: RNAcentral
GAACGCACCUCUGGUGUACCAGUUAUCGUGCCAACGGUAAACGCUGGGUAGCCAUGUGCGGAGUGGAUAACCGCUGAAAGCAUCUAAGUGGGAAGCCCACCUCAAGAUGAGUGUUCCCAUGGGGUAACCCAGUAAGGUCACGGGGAGAACACCCGUUGAUAGGCUCUAUGUGGAAGUCCAGUAAUGGAUGCAGCAGAGGAGUACUAAUAGACCGAGGGCUUGACCAA